Molecule: ribosomal RNA, 543 nt
Filed under: Lygodactylus wetzeli
Lineage: Eukaryota; Metazoa; Chordata; Lepidosauria; Squamata; Gekkonidae
Description: partial large subunit ribosomal RNA
Rfam family: Bacterial large subunit ribosomal RNA
Source: RNAcentral
CAUCGCCUUUAGCCCCACAAGUAUUAAAGGUCCUGCCUGCCCAGUGAAAAAUUUUUUAACGGCCGCGGUACCCUAACCGUGCAAAGGUAGCGCAAUCACCUGCCCCCUAAUUAGGGGCUAGUAUGAACGGCUAAAUGAGGGCCCAACUGUCUCCUGAAGCCAAUCAAUGAAAUUGAUCCCUCAGUACAAACGCUGAGAUAAACACAUAAGACGAGAAGACCCUGUGGAACUUCAACUACCCCGCUAGCAAUUAGACUUCUCCUCCCCUAGCGAAAGUUUUAGUUGGGGCAACUACGGAGCAUAACAAAACCUCCACGAAGCGCAACUAGCCCUUGCACCUAAGGCACACAUGCCACCAAACAACUUGUUUGAUCCAGUAAAACUGAUCUACGAACCAAGCUACCCCAGGGAUAACAGCGCAAUCCCCUCUAAGAGUCCAUAUCGCCGAGGGGGUUUACGACCUCGAUGUUGGAUCAGGACCCCCAGGUGGUGCAGCCGCUACCAAAGGUUCGUUUGUUCAACGAGUAACGUCCUACGUGAUCU